Molecule: ribosomal RNA, 518 nt
Filed under: uncultured fungus
Lineage: Eukaryota; Fungi
Description: SSU rRNA
Rfam family: Eukaryotic small subunit ribosomal RNA
Source: RNAcentral
CCAUGCAUGUCUAAGUAUAAGCAAUUAUACAGCGAAACUGCGAAUGGCUCAUUAUAUAAGUUAUCGUUUAUUUGAUAGUGCCUUACUACUUGGAUAACCGUGGUAAUUCUAGAGCUAAUACAUGCUAAAAACCCCGACUUCGGAAGGGGUGUAUUUAUUAGAUACAAAACCAAUGCCCUUCGGGGCUCCUUGGUGAUUCAUGAUAACUAUACGAAUCGCACGGCCUUGCGCCGGCGAUGGUUCAUUCAAAUUUCUUCCCUAUCAACUUUCGAUGUUUGGGUAUUGGCCAAACAUGGUUGCAACGGGUAACGGAGGGUUAGGGCUCGACCCCGGAGAAGGAGCCUGAGAAACGGCUACUACAUCCAAGGAAGGCAGCAGGCGCGCAAAUUACCCAAUCCCGACUCGGGGAGGUAGUGACAAUAAAUACUGAUACAGGGCCCUUUCGGGCCUUGUAAUUGGAAUGAGUACAAUUUAAAUCCCUUAACGAGGAACAAUUGGAGGGCAAGUCUGGUGCCAGC